GGUGUUGUGGCUUAGUGGUAGAGUGCUUGUCUAGCAAGCAGGAGGCCCUAGGUUCGAUCCUCAGCACCA
This 69-nucleotide transfer RNA is filed under the name Ictidomys tridecemlineatus (thirteen-lined ground squirrel). RNAcentral describes it as "Spermophilus tridecemlineatus (thirteen-lined ground squirrel) tRNA". It matches the Rfam family "tRNA". Rfam says of the family: Transfer RNA (tRNA) molecules are approximately 80 nucleotides in length. The record is from Rfam by way of RNAcentral. Lineage: Eukaryota; Metazoa; Chordata; Mammalia; Rodentia; Sciuridae.